Molecule: ribosomal RNA, 490 nt
Filed under: uncultured bacterium
Lineage: Bacteria
Description: bacterial SSU rRNA
Rfam family: Bacterial small subunit ribosomal RNA
Source: RNAcentral
AAUGAACGUUGGCGGCGUGGAUUAGGCAUGCAAGUCGAGCGCUCAUCAGCAAUGGUGGGAGCGGCGAACGGCGUAGUAAUGCAUCGGAACGUACCCUCUGGACGGGGAUAGCCACGGGGAAACUGUGGGUAAUACCCGAUAAUCUCUGCGGAGCAAAGGUGUGAUUCCGCCGGAGGAGCGGCUGAUGUGAUAUUAGCUAGUUGGUGGGGUAAAGGCCUACCAAGGCGAUGAUGUCUAGGGGGGUGUGAGAGCAUGGCCCCCCAGACCGGAACUGAGAUACUGUCCGGACACCUACGGGUGGCUGCAGUCGAGAAUCUUCCGCAAUGGACGAAAGUCUGACGGAGCGACGCCGCGUGCGGGAUGAAGGCCCUUGGGUUGUAAACCGCUGUCAGAGGGGAUGAAAUCGUCGGGGGUACUCCCCCGAUGUUGACAGAGCCUCAAAGGAAGCACGGGCUAAGUACGUGCCAGCAGCCGCGGUAAAGUCUGUACU